This 171-nucleotide ribosomal RNA is filed under the name Vibrio cholerae. Its description in RNAcentral is "partial 16S ribosomal RNA". It matches the Rfam family "Bacterial small subunit ribosomal RNA", at positions 1 to 164 of the family's 1533-position model. Lineage: Bacteria; Pseudomonadati; Pseudomonadota; Gammaproteobacteria; Vibrionales; Vibrionaceae. The record is from RNAcentral.
UUAAUUGAAGAGUUUGAUCAUGGCUCAGAUUGAACGCUGGCGGCAGGCCUAACACAUGCAAGUCGAGCGGCAGCACAGAGGAACUUGUUCCUUGGGUGGCGAGCGGCGGACGGGUGAGUAAUGCCUGGGAAAUUGCCCGGUAGAGGGGGAUAACCAUUGGAAACGAUGGCU